Saccostrea echinata is the source of this 763-nucleotide long non-coding RNA. RefSeq lists it as uncharacterized. The transcript has 3 exons. NCBI's taxonomy places the organism in Eukaryota, Metazoa, Mollusca, Bivalvia, Ostreida, Ostreidae. The record is from RefSeq and is a predicted model, not a curated record.
AGUGUCAAGAAGAAGGGAACUGCUGUCAUCAUUAGCUUGGAAUGGAAUUUGUAUUUUGACAAAAGAUGCAGACAUUUUAAGAACCGGGUCAGUUAACGGAUUUUGCAAAUAUGGAGGAUAAUAUAUCAAAGGCAGCAUAGGCGUCCAAACUCCUGUUCAAGGUGCUUUUAAUCAGAAGCUUAAGAGACAAAAGACGAGCCAUUGACAAGCCAAAACUGAAUGUUUUAUAGGAAAUUGAGCAAGAAAAGUUUGAAGUGUCUUUGGGAAUGAUCAACAUCAAACUUGCUGAGCUUUCGAAGCCGUCGUACCAAAAGUAAACCCAUUUGUGACAACAAUUAUCUGACCAUCCUCUAGCAGAACCAGUGAGGAAGUGAUUCUAGCCAACACUUUAGAAGUUCAGGACCUUCAAUAAUAAGGAUCUUGGGGCAUGUUGGGGAAAAAAAUAGCAUGUGUUGAUUUUAUGGGAUCUUCCAAAUAUAGUUGUGUAGUAGAUAUUUGUGUACUUAAUACCUAUGUUUGUCACUCUAGUCAUUAACUUUGUAUGGUAAAUGUCUAUGGACCACUGGAAGAUCAUUGUAACUGUAUACAAAUGUUGCAAAUAUACCCUUUUAAGGCUUUAGUGACCUUUCCCAAAUUCAUUUAAUGAAGCAAAAGGUCAUAAUUAAUUUUUUUUUUUUAAUCUAAUUUGUUUUAUUAUCAAAAAUGUCAUAUGUUUGGGAUUACUCUAGGUACAAAGGAUUUUCUUUAAACAAAAGUCAUUUGU